Molecule: long non-coding RNA, 270 nt
Organism: Sander lucioperca (pikeperch)
Lineage: Eukaryota; Metazoa; Chordata; Actinopteri; Perciformes; Percidae
Exons: 2
Source: RefSeq, a predicted model, not a curated record
GGUUUUGUGCCUCUGCUCACCUGAAAGAGAGGGUCCAGGUCUGAAGACACCUGAAAGAGAGGGUCCAGGUCUGAUAAUCUGCUCUGAAGAUAAAAAGCAGAAACCCAUUCAGACCAUCAGAGAGUUUUCUGAUGAUGUUGGAAUAUUUACACUUUCCUGUUUUCUACUUUUUCUAGUUUUCUGACAAUUAGGACCUUCUAUUUUAAAUGUACUGUUCUUACUGCUUAUUUAAAUAAAGUUGUACAUGUAGGGAUUAAAGAAGAGUCUCUU